CGUAUUAUUUCGCCGGUCCUACCCGGGGGCCACCCGUGCCCCGUGAGUGUUGACGGCUUCGGGUUGUAAAGCUCUUUCGGCCGGGAAGAAAUCGUGUUCUCUAACAUAGGACAUGGAUGACGGUACCGGACUAAGAAGCACCGGCUAACUACGUGCCAGCAGCCGCGGUAAUACGUAGGGUGCGAGCGUUAAUCGGAAUUACUGGGCGUAAAGCGUGCGCAGGCGGUUUUGUAAGACAGAUGUGAAAUCCCCGGGCUUAACCUGGGAACUGCGUUUGUGACUGCAAGGCUAGAGUACGGCAGAGGGGGGUGGAAUUCCUGGUGUAGCAGUGAAAUGCGUAGAUAUCAGGAGGAACACCGAUGGCGAAGGCAGCCCCCUGGGCCUGUACUGACGCUCAUGCACGAAAGCGUGGGGAGCAAACAGGAUUAGAUACCCUGGUAGUCCACGCCCUAAACGAUGUCGACUAGUCGUUCGGAGCAGCAAUGCACUGAGUGACGCAGCUAACGCGUGAAGUCGACCGCCUGGGGAGUACGGCCGCAAGGUUAAAACUAAAAGGGAAUUGA
RNAcentral lists this ribosomal RNA (563 nucleotides) under uncultured bacterium. RNAcentral's name for it is "bacterial SSU rRNA". It matches the Rfam family "Bacterial small subunit ribosomal RNA", at positions 355 to 913 of the family's 1533-position model. The record is from RNAcentral.